GAUGAAGAAUGUAGCGAAAUGCGAUAAGUAAUGUGAAUUGCAGAAUUCAGCGAAUCAUCGAAUCUUUGAACGCACAUUGCGCCCGCCAGUAUUCUGGCGGGCAUGCCUGUCUGAGCGUCAUUUCAACCCUCAUGCCCCUAGGGCGUGGUGUUGGGGAUCGGCCAAAGCCCGCGAGGGACGGCCGGCCCCUAAAUCUAGUGGCGGACCCGUCGUGGCCUCCUCUGCGAAGUAGUGAUAUUCCGCAUCGGAGAGCGACGAGCCCCUGCCGUUAAACCCCCAACUUUCCAAGGUUGACCUCAGAUCAGGUAGGAAUACCCGCUGAACUUAAGCAUAUCAAUAAGCGGAGGA
This 348-nucleotide unclassified non-coding RNA is filed under the name soil metagenome. Its description in RNAcentral is "partial contains 5.8S ribosomal RNA, internal transcribed spacer 2, and large subunit ribosomal RNA". The stretch from base 1 to 120 matches the Rfam family "5.8S ribosomal RNA", at positions 35 to 154 of the family's 154-position model. The record is from RNAcentral.